Molecule: ribosomal RNA, 321 nt
Filed under: Candida albicans
Lineage: Eukaryota; Fungi; Ascomycota; Pichiomycetes; Serinales; Debaryomycetaceae
Description: LSU rRNA
Rfam family: Eukaryotic large subunit ribosomal RNA
Source: RNAcentral
AGACCGAUAGCGAACAAGUACAGUGAUGGAAAGAUGAAAAGAACUUUGAAAAGAGAGUGAAAAAGUACGUGAAAUUGUUGAAAGGGAAGGGCUUGAGAUCAGACUUGGUAUUUUGCAUGCUGCUCUCUCGGGGGCGGCCGCUGCGGUUUACCGGGCCAGCAUCGGUUUGGAGCGGCAGGAUAAUGGCGGAGGAAUGUGGCACGGCUUCUGCUGUGUGUUAUAGCCUCUGACGAUACUGCCAGCCUAGACCGAGGACUGCGGUUUUUACCUAGGAUGUUGGCAUAAUGAUCUUAAGUCGCCCGUCUUGAAACACGGACCAAG